RNAcentral lists this ribosomal RNA (432 nucleotides) under uncultured bacterium. RNAcentral's name for it is "partial 16S ribosomal RNA". It matches the Rfam family "Bacterial small subunit ribosomal RNA", at positions 29 to 507 of the family's 1533-position model. The record is from RNAcentral.
ACGAACGCUGGCGGCAUGCCUAACACAUGCAAGUCGAACGAAGGCUUCGGCCUUAGUGGCGCACGGGUGCGUAACGCGUGGGAAUCUGCCCUUUGCUUCGGAAUAACAGUUAGAAAUGACUGCUAAUACCGGAUGAUGUCGCAAGACCAAAGAUUUAUCGGCAAAGGAUGAGCCCGCGUAGGAUUAGCUAGUUGGUGGGGUAAAGGCCUACCAAGGCGACGAUCCUUAGCUGGUCUGAGAGGAUGAUCAGCCACACUGGGACUGAGACACGGCCCAGACUCCUACGGGAGGCAGCAGUGGGGAAUAUUGGACAAUGGGCGAAAGCCUGAUCCAGCAAUGCCGCGUGAGUGAUGAAGGCCUUAGGGUUGUAAAGCUCUUUUACCCGGGAUGAUAAUGACAGUACCGGGAGAAUAAGCGCCGGCUAACUCCGUG